AGGAGUAUGUCUGACAAAAGAAUUACUUUGAUAGAGUAAAACAUAGAGGUUACAACCCUCUUACUCCUA
RNAcentral lists this transfer RNA (69 nucleotides) under Cabassous chacoensis (Chacoan naked-tailed armadillo). RNAcentral describes it as "tRNA-Ile". The record is from RNAcentral. Lineage: Eukaryota; Metazoa; Chordata; Mammalia; Cingulata; Chlamyphoridae.